UAUUUAAUAUAUAAGUAUAUUUAACUUCCAAUUAAAAAGACUGAUUAAUAUCAGAAUAAGUA
Molecule: transfer RNA, 62 nt
Filed under: Phryganistria guangxiensis
Lineage: Eukaryota; Metazoa; Arthropoda; Insecta; Phasmatodea; Phasmatidae
Description: tRNA-Gly
Source: RNAcentral